RNAcentral lists this small nuclear RNA (23 nucleotides) under Arabidopsis thaliana (thale cress). RNAcentral's name for it is "snRNA_02238". Lineage: Eukaryota; Viridiplantae; Streptophyta; Magnoliopsida; Brassicales; Brassicaceae. The record is from RNAcentral.
AUUAAGUAACGCUAUACCACGAA